RNAcentral lists this ribosomal RNA (196 nucleotides) under uncultured bacterium. Its description in RNAcentral is "partial 16S ribosomal RNA". It matches the Rfam family "Bacterial small subunit ribosomal RNA", at positions 521 to 715 of the family's 1533-position model. The record is from RNAcentral.
UAAUACGUAGGGUGCGAGCGUUGUCCGGAAUUAUUGGGCGUAAAGAGCUCGUAGGCGGUGUGUCACGUCGGCCGUGAAAACCUGCAGCUUAACUGUGGGCGUGCGGUCGAUACGGGCAUCACUGGAGUUCGGCAGGGGAGACUGGAAUUCCUGGUGUAGCGGUGAAAUGCGCAGAUAUCAGGAGGAACACCGGUGG